RNAcentral lists this ribosomal RNA (440 nucleotides) under uncultured bacterium. RNAcentral describes it as "partial 16S ribosomal RNA". It matches the Rfam family "Bacterial small subunit ribosomal RNA", at positions 338 to 795 of the family's 1533-position model. The record is from RNAcentral.
CCUACGGGUGGCAGCAGUGGGGGAUAUUGCGCAAUGGGGGGAACCCUGAUGCAGCGACGCCGCGUGAGCGAAGAAGUACCUCGGUAUGUAAAGCUCUAUCAGCAGGGAAGAACAUGACGGUACCUGCCUAAUAAGCCCCGGCUAAAUACUUGCCGGCAGCCGCGGUAAUACGUAUGGGGCAAGCGUGAUCCGGAUUUACUGGGUGUAAAGGGAGCGCAGGCGGCCUGGCAAGUCUGUUGUGAAAACCCGGGGCCCAACCCCGGGGCUGCAGUGGAAACUGGCGGGCGGGAGUGUAGGAGGGGUAGGCGGAAUUCCUAGUGUAGCGGUGAAAUGCGUAGAUAUUAGGAGGAACAUCAGGGGCGAAGGCGACCUGCUGGACGAUAACUGACGCUGAGGCUCGAAAGCGUGGGGAGCAAACAGGAUUAGAUACCCCGGUAGUC